AAGUCGUAACAAGGUUUCCGUAGGUGAACCUGCGGAAGGAUCAUUACCAUCGUAUUCCGAUACCCACCCAUGUGUCACUCGUUUUCAAUCUAACUUCGACUGAGCAUGAAUAGGCAGAUACGGCGAGUAGAAACCGGAGUGAAGGAUCCUUUCUAACGGAAGGUGAAUUCGUCUGCUCGCCCGACUGAGGCUUCGGCUUCGACUAUUGCAGCUCUUUCGGAGCCAACCUCUCUUACGAUCUGUGCAGCUCUUGGCGUCAGACGUAGGGGAAAUUUAAUCACCUAUUUCACCUUUUUGCUAGUUGACUUUUUAUAUGUUGUAGUAUUAGGCUUUCGAGUCUGUAUUACACACGUUUAAUUAUUUGAACGUUAAAUCGAACAACUCUUAGCAAUGGAUAUCUUGGUUCUC
Molecule: unclassified non-coding RNA, 408 nt
Filed under: fungal sp.
Lineage: Eukaryota; Fungi
Description: partial internal transcribed spacer region
Rfam family: Eukaryotic small subunit ribosomal RNA (bases 1-46)
Source: RNAcentral